Molecule: long non-coding RNA, 3004 nt
Filed under: Mus musculus (house mouse)
Lineage: Eukaryota; Metazoa; Chordata; Mammalia; Rodentia; Muridae
Description: predicted gene, 17435
Source: RNAcentral
GGGCCCGCCCACUUGAGGCUGUGGAAGCCGCGUGCCUGGGGCGUAGACAGGGCUUAGAUCUUUUAGAAGAAAAGAAACCGAUUGCGGUAAAUCCUCUGGACUACGCCGGGUCCUCGGAAGCUGUGCGCUAACCAAAAUCCCCGACGCUGGCAGUUGCCAUUGUUCCCCAGAGGCAUCCACACUAAUGGGACCCAAGUAUUGUGCAGCUUCAUUUUACAGUGAGGAAACUCGGUGUAUGCAGGAUAGGGAACUCUACAUGGACCACAGAAGGCAAAAGCCUGCUGCUUUCCUGUGCAGGGUGGAGUGUACUAAGUUAGCAUCCUGUGAUGUACUUGCCCCAGCCAGCAACAGCAGAGAAGCACACAGGUAACACAGCUCCUUGAAGUUGGACCCUCCAGUGUUGUGUCAUUUGCCUUUCUUUUCUCAAGGGUUGUUGAAGAACCAAGACCAGGUACAUUUCAGCAGUUUCAUGCCCAAUGGUAUCCUGAAGCAGACGUAUACAGUGAUGGCCUGAGAGUCAUCUGGCCAGUGCUCCCAGGCACUGCCUGCCAGUAGCCCCAACCACAUCUGUGCAGCACAGUCCUCAGGACCUACACCAACAUCCCUUGAAAAAAAACAACAGUGUCUUUGUGGGUUUUAGGGGUUUUUUGUUGUUUUGUUGUUUUUUACAUGAAGAGUAGUCUAAACAAAAAUUUACAAAGCUCACUGAACUUAAAAUACUCUGGAAGUGUUGAUCAGCAAGAAGGCUGUGCUUUCAAACCAAAACAUGCCACAGAUGGCACCCAAAAGCAGGCAAUCUGUGAGCCUUCAGUGUGCUGUACACUCCUGGCUGAUAUUGUUUAGGACACCUGUGAACAGAAUGAGUGCUACAGGGCAUGCUCUGGGAGAAACAGUCUCUUCAUCUUCCUUGCCUAAUGCCUCAAUAAGCCAGGGAGCCUGGUGGGCUUCCCAGUGUCAUUAGCCGUGUGGAUCAUGUGGUCUCCUGGGAUGCCUGGUUUAGGUAGCCUCAAAGUUUCCCACUCACAGCUUUCUUGGAGAAAGGACAGUGGGGCAGAUCCCACAACCACUGUCACCACUUAUAAAAAGCAUUUCCCUUAUAAAUGGGACCCACCUGCUCCCUAAGGAAUUUCUAGCACCUAAGUAGCCUAUCACAAUCCAAGUGUCUCUGCCUGCCCUGAAAUAAGCCAAGAACUCUGAUAAGCAGAACAUGCCACAACUUGGCCCAGGAGAUGAGAAACCCAGCCGGGGUGCAAGCUGCAUGCAGACUACUCACUGUACCCCAUAAAGCACCCCAGAGCAUGGAACUGCAGCAGAAAUUGAAAUCUGCGUGCACAGCUAACCUCUUCAGCAACAGAAGCUACCUGAGAGCAAAGAGAAUGGCUCUGUACAACACCCACACACUGUCCUUUGGCUUUUGGUCAGGACUCCACAGACUGUCCAGUGCACAGGCCCUUCUUGAGUGCAUGGAGCUCCCAUGAGUGUCAUCUGUGAGUUUGCCACUGCUCUACCCAUGUAACUGGAAAACUUGUAAGCCAGACACAACUUUCCAUUUCUACCAUCAAUCCUCACAGGAGGGUUUUGGUGUCUAAGUGUCUGAGGACAGCAAGUUGGGUGGGAGUCCUCUACCUGGCCUCUCUUUGAUAGAAGAGUUGCUAAGAACACCAGCUGCAGGAGACUGGAAAUGACCCAACACCAUGGGAGGAAACACAGUACUUGGUCCACACCUUGUGCAGAAGGCAGAUCUCAAACAAGAGCAAGCCAGCUUUCCAGGAACUGUUUAAGAAGCAGGCUCCAGAGCCAGCUGAAUACAGGCAGUGAAGCUGUGUGUAUACUCAGGCUGUUAAGAACAGAUGGUGGGAGCCACCUGGUAUCCUGCACUAGCCCAAAGCACAACCAGGUGCCUGCCUGAGCCCAGCUCCUCUCCCAGGAGCCUGGGAAACCACAGACAACAUAUUGUGCAUUAACCAGGCCAUGCAGAAACACCCACAGGAACCUGGCCUGGCUUCUAGGGCAGCUUCAUGAUACAGAAAGUCCCUACAUGCCUGCCUAUGUACACAUCAUACACAUGAAUAAGUAAAUAAAUGUUAUUUAUAUAAAUAGCUUUUACAGCCCAUCCUGCUGUCCUCAGACACUUGGUCACCAUAACCCCAUCUGCCUGAGACCAAUGGCAUAGAACUUACUACACAAUUCACCUAGAACUGUCUUCAGAGCAGCUGAGGGUGACCAAAGCACUUUGGAGGCACCACACAAGGACAGCUCCCUGUCACCUAGUGGAAACAAGAUGCAUUAACUGGGGACAGGCAGGCAGUGCUCAGGGACCAAGCACCAUGAGCUCCAGCAUGACAUGUGUCUCUAUACACACCAGGGUGCCAGCUAGCCUGGCUCAUGACCAACCUCAUUUGCUCCCUGUGCAGUUGGCACAUACCUGCCUCCAUAAUGUUAGUGUCAUCAGUAAGAUGUGGACACUUGUGUGAACAAGCAAGGAAAGAAAGCAGUAGAGAGGAGAGGAGAUGGGGCAGAUAGGUGGCUAUCAUCUGAAAAGCAGGUUAAGUGGGUAGAGUAAGGCCAAAAGGGAAAGCCCAAACCACAGUAAACAGAUAAAGCAGCUAGCCCUGGAGAACCCCAGUCACUGAAAAGAGCAAUCAGUUCUAAUCAGCUCUGGACAGGAGGUUCUGGCCAAUGCAAGUGGGCAAGAAAAAGACAGAAGAGGCCUUCCAAACAGGAAUGAGGAAUGAGUGCCCACACCCUGCAUUCAUGUUAGUUCUUGGGAAGCACUUAGGGCAUCUGAGCAGAGCUACAGGACAGAGCAUUUCCACCACAGGUUCACAAGCUAAAGACUCCAAGUCAAACCCCCACUGACAAAUAAAUAUGAAAGGCCCAAGAGGUGACUCAGUGAGUAAAAGUGUACACAACCAAACCAGACAACCCAAGUUUAAUCCCAUAUCCCCAGAUUGUCCCAUGACCUCCACUUAUGCACAUGCACAAAAUAAAUUAAUGUUAAAUU